Molecule: transfer RNA, 67 nt
Filed under: Obrium sp. NS-2015
Lineage: Eukaryota; Metazoa; Arthropoda; Insecta; Coleoptera; Cerambycidae
Description: tRNA-Asp
Source: RNAcentral
AAAAAUUUAGUUAAAUUAUAACAUUAGCCCGUCACGCUAAAAUUAUUAAUUACACUAAUAAUUUUUA